RNAcentral lists this unclassified non-coding RNA (202 nucleotides) under soil metagenome. RNAcentral describes it as "partial contains 5.8S ribosomal RNA, internal transcribed spacer 2, and large subunit ribosomal RNA". The record is from RNAcentral.
AACCUAGCACACCUGCGGUGUGUACCUGCGGAAGGAUCAUUACCUAGAGUUGUAGGCUUUGCCUGCUAUCUCUUACCCAUGUCUUUUGAGUACCUUACGUUUCCUCAGUGGGCUCGCCCACCGAUUGGACAAAUUUAAACCCUUUGCAGUUGAAAUCAGCGUCUGAAAAAACUUAAUAGUUACAACUUUCAACAAUGGAUCU